UACGUGGGGUGCGAGCGUUGUCCGGAAUUAUUGGGCGUAAAGAGCUCGUAGGCGGUGUGUCGCGUCGGCCGUGAAAACCUGCAGCUUAACUGUGGGCUUGCGGUCGAUACGGGCAUCACUGGAGUUCGGCAGGGGAGACUGGAAUUCCUGGUGUAGCGGUGAAAUGCGCAGAUAUCAGGAGGAACACCGGUGGCGAAGGCGGGUCUCUGGGCCGAUACUGACGCUGAGGAGCGAAAGCGUGGGGAGCGAACAGG
RNAcentral lists this ribosomal RNA (254 nucleotides) under uncultured bacterium. RNAcentral describes it as "partial 16S ribosomal RNA". It matches the Rfam family "Bacterial small subunit ribosomal RNA", at positions 524 to 776 of the family's 1533-position model. The record is from RNAcentral.